CAGCCGCCACGGUAAUACGGAGGGAGCUAGCGUUGUUCGGAAUUACUGGGCGUAAAGCGCACGUAGGCGGUUAUUCAAGUCAGAGGUGAAAGCCCGGGGCUCAACCCCGGAACUGCCUUUGAAACUAGAUGACUGGAAUCUUAGAGAGGUCAGUGGAAUUCCGAGUGUAGAGGUGAAAUUCGUAGGUAUUCGGAAGAACACCAGUGGCGAAGGCGACUGACUGGACAAGUAUUGACGCUGAGGUGCGAAAGCGUGGGGAGCAAACAGGAUUAGAUACCCGCGUAGUCCCUGUCUCUUAUAC
Molecule: ribosomal RNA, 301 nt
Filed under: uncultured bacterium
Lineage: Bacteria
Description: partial 16S ribosomal RNA
Rfam family: Bacterial small subunit ribosomal RNA
Source: RNAcentral